This 478-nucleotide ribosomal RNA is filed under the name uncultured bacterium. RNAcentral's name for it is "bacterial SSU rRNA". It matches the Rfam family "Bacterial small subunit ribosomal RNA", at positions 356 to 831 of the family's 1533-position model. The record is from RNAcentral.
GAGGAAUAUUGGUCAAUGGACGCAAGUCUGAACCAGCCAUGCCGCGUGCAGGAAGACGGCUCUAUGAGUUGUAAACUGCUUUUGUACGAGAGUAAACGCUCUUACGUGUAAGAGCCUGAAAGUAUCGUACGGAUAAGGAUCGGCUAACUCCGUGCCAGCAGCCGCGGUAAUACGGAGGAUCCAAGCGUUAUCCGGAUUUAUUGGGUUUAAAGGGUGCGUAGGCGGUUUGAUAAGUUAGAGGUGAAAUACCGGUGCUUAACACCGGAACUGCCUCUAAUACUGUUGAACUAGAGAGUAGUUGCGGUAGGCGGAAUGUAUGGUGUAGCGGUGAAAUGCUUAGAGAUCAUACAGAACACCGAUUGCGAAGGCAGCUUACCAAACUAUAUCUGACGUUGAGGCACGAAAGCGUGGGGAGCAAACAGGAUUAGAUACCCUGGUAGUCCACGCAGUAAACGAUGAUAACUCGCUGUCGGCGAUA